RNAcentral lists this ribosomal RNA (467 nucleotides) under uncultured bacterium. Its description in RNAcentral is "partial 16S ribosomal RNA". It matches the Rfam family "Bacterial small subunit ribosomal RNA", at positions 28 to 506 of the family's 1533-position model. The record is from RNAcentral.
GACGAACGCUGGCGGCGUGCUUAACACAUGCAAGUCGAACGGAAAGGCCCUGCUUUUGUGGGGUGCUCGAGUGGCGAACGGGUGAGUAACACGUGAGUAACCUGCCCUUGACUUUGGGAUAACUUCAGGAAACUGGGGCUAAUACCGGAUAGGAGCUCCUGCUGCAUGGUGGGGGUUGGAAAGUUUCGGCGGUUGGGGAUGGACUCGCGGCUUAUCAGCUUGUUGGUGGGGUAGUGGCUUACCAAGGCUUUGACGGGUAGCCGGCCUGAGAGGGUGACCGGCCAAAUGGGGACUGAGAGACGGCCCAGACUCCCACGGGAGGAAGCAGGGGGGAAUAUGGCAAAAGGGGCGGAAGCCUGAUGCAGAAACGCCGGGUGCGGGAUGAGGGCCUUCGGGUUGUAAACCGCUUUCGCCUGGGACGAAGCGUGAGGGGCGGUAAUGGGAAAAGAAGCACCGGCUAACUACGU